Molecule: non-coding RNA, 206 nt
Organism: Lepisosteus oculatus (spotted gar)
Lineage: Eukaryota; Metazoa; Chordata; Actinopteri; Semionotiformes; Lepisosteidae
Source: RefSeq, a predicted model, not a curated record
GUCCACUGCAUCGAAAGAUUAAAUCAUUUUGAUUUUUCUGGAACACCAAACUUCUUUCAAACUGCAGAAUAACAGAGAUGCCUUUGUAAAGCAGAUCUACAAGUACAAUCCACUAAAAGAGGUCACCAGGAAACAUUCCUUACUAGCAAAAAACAACAUGGAUAAGACAAGCAUGAGGGAAGCAAAAGACAAUACUGGAAAGUAAG